RNAcentral lists this long non-coding RNA (280 nucleotides) under Cricetulus griseus (Chinese hamster). RNAcentral's name for it is "lncRNA (ENSCGRG00015034461.1)". Lineage: Eukaryota; Metazoa; Chordata; Mammalia; Rodentia; Cricetidae. The record is from RNAcentral.
GGGGCAACCAGGGCGCAGAUUGGGGCAACCAGGGCGCAGAUUGGGGCAACGGCCGGCCCAGGUGGCGCUCAGGACCGACCAGCAACACCCCGCCCCUGCAGCUGCUUCUUGGCUUGGUGAUCAAGUGCACCAGACUGGGGUCAGUCCUAGGGGAUGUUUCUUGGCACGAGGGUUUCUCUGUGCCUUUGGAGGCUGUCCUGGAACGAGCUCUUGUAGACCAGGCUGGUCUCCAACUCACAGAGAUCUGCCUGCCUCUGCCUGCAGAGUGCUGGGAUUAAAG